GAAAUUUUGCAGCUUAACUGUAACAGUGCCGUUGAUACUGUAGGGCUAGGAUUUGGUUGCUGUGGGUGGAAUGUGUGGUGUAGCGGUGAAAUGCUUAGAUAUCACACAGAAUAUCGAUUGCGAAGGCAGCUCACAAAGCCAAGAUUGACGCUGAGGCACGAAAGUGUGGGGAUCAAACAGGAUUAGAUACCCUGGUAGUCCACACUGUAAACGAUGAUAACUCGCUGCCGGCGAUACACAGUCGGUGGCCAAGCGAAAGCGAUAAGUUAUCCACCUGGGGAGUACGACCGCAAGGUUGAAACUCAAAGGAAUUGACGGGGGCCCGCACAAGCGGAGGAACAUGUGGUUUAAUUCGAUGAUACGCGAGGAACCUUACCCGGGCUCGAACGGUGCAUGAAUAUACAAGAGAUUGUAUAGUCCUUCGGGACAUGUAUCGAGGUGCUGCAUAGUUGUCGUCAGCUCGUGCCGUGAGGUGUCGGCUUAAGUGCCAUAACGAGCGCAACCCUUGUCAUUAGUUACCAUCAGGUUAAGCUGGGGACUCUAAUGAGACUGCCACCGUAAGGUGUGAGGAGGGGGGGGAUGACGUCAAAUCAGCACGGCCCUUAUGUCCGGGGCGACACACGUGUUACAAUGGGGGGUACAGAGGGCAGCCAUCCGGCGACGGAGCGCUAAUCUCAAAAACCCUUCUCAGUUCGGAUUGGAGUCUGCAACUCGACUCCAUGAAGUUGGAUUCGCUAGUAAUCGCGCAUCAGCCAUGGCGCGUGAAUACGUUCCCGGGCCUUGUACACACCGCCCGUCAAGCCAUGGAAGCUUGGGGUGCCUGAAGUUCGUGACCGCAAGAAGCGACCUAAG
Molecule: ribosomal RNA, 852 nt
Filed under: uncultured bacterium
Lineage: Bacteria
Description: bacterial SSU rRNA
Rfam family: Bacterial small subunit ribosomal RNA
Source: RNAcentral